RNAcentral lists this long non-coding RNA (431 nucleotides) under Homo sapiens (human). RNAcentral describes it as "non-protein coding lnc-FKBP2-1:2". The record is from RNAcentral. Lineage: Eukaryota; Metazoa; Chordata; Mammalia; Primates; Hominidae.
GGUGGCCUAGCUGUCCGUACUCCCCAAACGCAACCUUCCAGUCCCAAACCCAGGCGUUCUAAGCGCUCAGGACGACGAUUUGCGCUCACGCCAGGACCCUAGUCUUCAUUGGACCCUUCCUCAUUCUGUCCUCAUUGAGGCCAUCUGAGAAUAGGGGCUAUCUGAGAAUGCAGGGGAGUGGACAUCGUGUGCAGACAGGGAGUCUGAUUGUGAGUGCCACGGGGCUGAGGCCUGCGCCGACCUGGUCUGCUGGUGCUACCAGGCUUGAACAGUCUUCAAAUCCACUGCUAUUAGGCAAAUUACCUGGCUCCCGCUGAACUCCAGCACCUAGAACUAUGUCACACUCGUAGUAGGCCGCUGCAUUGGUUGAACAAAUGAUUUUGAAAGAAUGAAUGUCUUCCUCUGUGCCUGCAUUUCCUCAGAAGGCUGUA